This 1933-nucleotide ribosomal RNA is filed under the name Listeria monocytogenes. Its description in RNAcentral is "partial 23S ribosomal RNA". It matches the Rfam family "Bacterial large subunit ribosomal RNA", at positions 551 to 2499 of the family's 2925-position model. The record is from RNAcentral. Lineage: Bacteria; Bacillati; Bacillota; Bacilli; Caryophanales; Listeriaceae.
UGAAACCGUGUGCCUACAACAAGUUCGAGCCCGUUAAUGGGUGAGAGCGUGCCUUUUGUAGAAUGAACCGGCGAGUUACGAUAUGAUGCGAGGUUAAGUUGAAGAGACGGAGCCGCAGGGAAACCGAGUCUGAAUAGGGCGCCUUAGUAUCAUGUCGUAGACCCGAAACCAUGUGACCUACCCAUGAGCAGGUUGAAGGUGCGGUAAGACGCACUGGAGGACCGAACCAGGGCACGUUGAAAAGUGCUUGGAUGACUUGUGGGUAGCGGAGAAAUUCCAAACGAACUUGGAGAUAGCUGGUUCUCUCCGAAAUAGCUUUAGGGCUAGCGUCGACAUAAAGAUUCUUGGAGGUAGAGCACUGUUUGGGUGAGGGGUCCAUCCCGGAUUACCAAUCUCAGAUAAACUCCGAAUGCCAAUGAAUUAUGGUCGGCAGUCAGACUGCGAGUGCUAAGAUCCGUAGUCGAAAGGGAAACAGCCCAGACCACCAGCUAAGGUCCCAAAAUAAUUGUUAAGUGGAAAAGGAUGUGGGGUUGCACAGACAACUAGGAUGUUAGCUUAGAAGCAGCUAUUCAUUCAAAGAGUGCGUAAUAGCUCACUAGUCGAGUGACCCUGCGCCGAAAAUGUACCGGGGCUAAAACAAUUUACCGAAGCUGUGGAUACCUUUAUAGGUAUGGUAGGAGAGCGUUCUAUGUGUGAAGAAGGUAUACCGUGAGGAGUGCUGGAACGCAUAGAAGUGAGAAUGCCGGUAUGAGUAGCGAAAGACAGGUGAGAAUCCUGUCCACCGUAAGACUAAGGUUUCCAGGGGAAGGCUCGUCCGCCCUGGGUUAGUCGGGACCUAAGGAGAGACCGAAAGGUGUAUCCGAUGGACAACAGGUUGAUAUUCCUGUACUAGAGUAUGUAGUGAUGGAGGGACGCAGUAGGCUAACUAAAGCAGACGAAUGGAAGUGUCUGUCUAAGCAGUGAGGUGUGAUAUGAGUCAAAUGCUUAUAUCUAUAACAUUGAGCUGUGAUGGGGAGCGAAGUUUAGUAGCGAAGUUAGUGACGUCACACUGCCAAGAAAAGCUUCUAGCGUUUAAACAUACUCUACCCGUACCGCAAACCGACACAGGUAGUCGAGGCGAGUAGCCUCAGGUGAGCGAGAGAACUCUCGUUAAGGAACUCGGCAAAAUGACCCCGUAACUUCGGGAGAAGGGGUGCUGACUUUAUGUCAGCCGCAGUGAAUAGGCCCAAGCAACUGUUUAUCAAAAACACAGCUCUCUGCUAAAUCGUAAGAUGAUGUAUAGGGGGUGACGCCUGCCCGGUGCUGGAAGGUUAAGAGGAGUGCUUAGCGUAAGCGAAGGUAUGAAUUGAAGCCCCAGUAAACGGCGGCCGUAACUAUAACGGUCCUAAGGUAGCGAAAUUCCUUGUCGGGUAAGUUCCGACCCGCACGAAAGGCGUAAUGAUUUGGGCACUGUCUCAACGAGAGACUCGGUGAAAUUUUAGUACCUGUGAAGAUGCAGGUUACCCGCGACAGGACGGAAAGACCCCAUGGAGCUUUACUGCAGUUUGAUAUUGAGUGUCUGUACCACAUGUACAGGAUAGGUAGGAGUCUAUGAGAUCGGGACGCCAGUUUCGAAGGAGACGUUGUUGGGAUACUACCCUUGUGUUAUGGCCACUCUAACCCGGAUAGGUUAUCCCUAUCGGAGACAGUGUCUGACGGGCAGUUUGACUGGGGCGGUCGCCUCCUAAAAGGUAACGGAGGCGCCCAAAGGUUCCCUCAGAAUGGUUGGAAAUCAUUCGCAGAGUGUAAAGGUAUAAGGGAGCUUGACUGCGAGAGCUACAACUCGAGCAGGGACGAAAGUCGGGCUUAGUGAUCCGGUGGUUCCGUAUGGAAGGGCCAUCGCUCAACGGAUAAAAGCUACCCUGGGGAUAACAGGCUUAUCUCCCCCAAGAGU